Molecule: long non-coding RNA, 1321 nt
Filed under: Daucus carota (carrot)
Lineage: Eukaryota; Viridiplantae; Streptophyta; Magnoliopsida; Apiales; Apiaceae
Description: long non-coding RNA (DCAR_LNC004672)
Source: RNAcentral
CAGGAGAAUGAUACAUACCAAAGAAUGAAAAAAAAUUGUAUUUAGUUUGUGUUAUUAUUUUGUAAUAAAAAUAAAAGUAAUUAAUUAAAAAAAAUACAUACAUUAUUCAAAUCUAUUUGGAGGUAGUGAAAUAUUCUUUAAAAGGCCUUUUGUUUUCCUUUAUUUACUAGUAAUAUCUUUUUACUAGAAUCUUUGGUUCAGUUUUAAGGUAUUCUCUUGUAUAUGGAGAUGUAAUCUGAUUUAGUAAUGAAAGAUUUUGAAUACUUUUGAUAUUGAGAUUAUUCUCGAUCGGUUUUUCUUUUCCUAAGGGUAGUGGUCAUUAUGUAGAGAAGUCGUUGGUGGGUUUCUUCUGCUUAAUUCACGAAAAAGUUAUGUUUUCUGUAUCACAUUCCUUUUCUUCACCUCAUUGUCUUGCAUCAACCAAUACUGAAAAUUUUCACUACAGGAUCUAGUUGAUUUGGCUCCAUUUUAUUAGAUAUAUCUUGUUUAUCAAUUUAAUCAAACAGUAGUUGCAAAGUUUAGAAAAGUCAUCCACCUGUGUGACAAUGCCCCUGUGCCUACCAUUAACCCGAGUGCUCUACCCGGUGACUAGUCGUAGUGCCUUAUGAACCCUAUCCCCACGUCCACCUGAGCACUCGAAUACAGUCAACCUCCAACAACAAGUCUAUCUCAGUAUCUAGUUGAUUUGGCUCCAUUUUAUUAGAUAUAUCGUGUUUAUCAAUUUAAUCAAACAGUAGGUGUAAAGUUUAGAAAAGUCAUCCUCCUGUGCGGCAAUUCCCCUGUGCCUACCAUUAAGCCAAGUGCUCUACCCGGUGACUAGUCGUAGUGCCUUAUGAACCCUAUCCCCACGUCCACCCGAGCACUCCAAUACAGUCAACCUCCAACAGUAAGUCUAUCUCAGUAUGCCAAUAUCCACAAUAGUAAAUACAAGCACGCAACAAGUAUUUAGAGGAUAAACACUCCAAACCAUUUGAUUGUCAUUACAACCUAAAAGGAAUACAAGAGAUAUAGACUAGAGCCCUUUACAAUGCUUGCCUAUCUUUUUUCUAUCUAUAUUCUACUAUGCAUCUAUAUCUAACUAUGCAGAAUAGAAUACUAGAUCUAGAAUAUGUUUAUAUUAGAAUUCAUAAUAAAUCUAUAAGCCACUUCUGAUCCACGUCUUUUGCCAGUUUCCCUCAUUUAUAUAUCCAAAAUUGUAAAUUGUAUAUAACUGUCAACAAGUGCUUUGCCAUGUUCUUAUUGUUGCUACUUGAAGCUGCCCCAAGUUUUCCCCGAGCGUUCGACACCCGAAGCCCAAUAUUUGGCUCGAGCACCUGACCCC